Molecule: long non-coding RNA, 1217 nt
Organism: Drosophila willistoni
Lineage: Eukaryota; Metazoa; Arthropoda; Insecta; Diptera; Drosophilidae
Exons: 6
Source: RefSeq, a predicted model, not a curated record
GACGAAAAGCAGUGAACUUAUUGCAAAAAACAACUAUUCGUUAAUCGACUAGUCGUCAUCGACAUAAUUAUCGAUAAGUCUCUCUAUCGAAUAAAACAAACAUAUUCAUCGGAAUUUUUUGUCAGCUCUAUCAAAUGAGAAUGUUUACAUUUUUAAAAAUCGAACGUAACUCUAAUCUCAAACUAGUACAUAUAUUUUAAAUAUAACGACAAGCCAAAUUUUGUGUAGCAAAAUGGAGACUCAUGAGUACAUCGUUGGGGCAAAACCUGUUUUGUUAUUUUCAUUUUAUCAUUGAGACUUCGCGCCAUUAGACAGGACACAAGAAAUCCUUUGACCUAUUAUCUUCACAAUGGCAAUGCCAGAAAUAGCCGUGCAAGCUAACGAUGUUUCAACUAUAUGACAACCAUCAUAAACUUGAAUUUUUAAGAUGAUUUGGAUCAAAAAAGAGUUUUAGCUUGACCGAAUUGGCUUGAAUCUAGGACAUACCUUAAGGCCCACCACCUUUAUCUAGUAGUAGAACUGUUCAUACUUUGUAAUUAAUUACUUAGCAUAAAUAGUCACAUUCAUCUCUCUUCCCUCUCGAUUUUAUUGUUGAUUUCAUUCUAUCUCUGUCUUUUCUGUGAUGCUGAAUAGUUUGACAAGUUGCGCUGAAGCCAAAUGGUUAAGUUGUUUAUUUCUGAUGUGUUUUAUGAUGAUGUUUAUUUCUGUAAUGUUUACUGUAAUGUAGGUAACUGUGCGACAGGUGCUGGCAUAUUUCUCAUAUAGAAAUGUUCUCUGCUUUAUAAUCUGCAACAGACGAAAAACCCUUUGGCCUUAUCCUGGGUGCCUUAUAAGAGUCAUUGUUUGACAUUCCGUUUCGUUUGAGGUCGAAAUUCAAUGGCUGACAUGCAAUCUACACAUUGGAUAUAUUCAUAGAAAGUGAUCAGGAGUAAUAAGUGUAUCGGACGUCCUCGGAUGGUAUAGAAAGCCAAGGAGCCGGGCUAAUUUGGCAAUGCCGAAACGAUCCUGCGUAGAGUUAUCCUUGAUGCCAGCAGGAUACUUUUUUGAAGGCCGACGACUUUUUGAACAGCCCUCGUACCAAAAGUAUAACUCUUCCCUUUCUUUUGGGUUGAAACUUGGUAUUAAGCUACUUAUUACCUAGGUGAAAUGAAGCAUGAAAAUCACGAAAAACAGGUGAAGGACUUGAAGUAUCUUUAUGCAAUAAUAAAAGGUGACAG